Molecule: long non-coding RNA, 2157 nt
Organism: Monodelphis domestica (gray short-tailed opossum)
Lineage: Eukaryota; Metazoa; Chordata; Mammalia; Didelphimorphia; Didelphidae
Source: Ensembl
AUUUGUACUUAUUUCUGUUGAGACAUUUGAUACUUUAUGUCACUUUCAAAAGAACAGCUACCUUUGAAUAUAGUUCUUUACCUUGUGAGAUGCCAAUCUUUCUCGGGCCAAUCUGAAGUUUGGAAAGGGUGAAAGUAGCCCUGUAAAUUAUAGUCUUCUGCCUUACCUCAACUUUUGAGCCUUCUCCUGGGACUAGUCAGAGAAAUAGGUAGUUGUGAUUCUUAUGAUAACUCACAAAUUGGUUGGACUCUAUUGUCAGAUAAGCACUUCUACACAGGAAAUUUAUGAACGGGUCCGAUCCUGCCUUUAUUCAUUUAUAUUGCCCUUCUAUUCACUUUAGCAAAAAUAAAAGUAUCAAGACAAUUUUAUAGCAACACCAUACCUAUCCAGAGUUAGAUAAUCGAAAAACCUUAUUUCUUUGCAACACAAUUAAGAACCAGGUAGAGAAUGCAAAUGGCCUCUGACCAGUCAAGAGAGAUGCCAGAAAGUUUGUGUACUCAAAGUUCAUCCAAAUCUAGUGACCUGAAGAAAAGAGCUUUAGGUCUUCACUUAGAGUCUGCUUGAACCACAUUCUAACUGCCUUAGUAUGCGAUGUCCAAGUACCCAACAGAAUAGGAACAGCCAGUUAGAAGGGAAGGGAGGAAUUGCUUUAGGUUGUUACAGACAACCUUGGGAGGGAAUAAGUUUUCAGUCAUUGGAGAAAUAGCAAAGCAGAAGCUUAAUGACCAUUUGUUUAGAAUGUUGUAAUUUCAUGUAAUUUCAUGCUUUCAUACUGAAUGACCUCUGAGGUCCUUUACAACUCUAUAAUUCACAAUGUCACUCCCAUAUGUUCCUUCCCCUCUUCUCACAAAGUCACUAUCCUGGCCCUCAUCACUUUGUAUCUGCACUAUUACAAUAAGCCUUUUAAUUGGUCUCUCUGUUUCAGCUGCCUUCACACUCCAAAUCAUACCACCAAAUUGACUUUUCUAAAUCACAGUGAAAGUAUGGAUUCUAGACAGUUGUGUGACAUGAAAUGCCUGAUGCUUUUUAGGUGUCAGAGGGAAAAGAUCCUUGUUCACAGAAUCAUCAGUGAAGAGCUGGAAGAGAUAAUGAAGAUCCUUCAAUCUAACUUCCUUAUCAUACAGAUGAAGAAACUGAGGCCAACAGAGCUUAUGUAACUUGUCCAACAUCUCAAAGGUAGGAAAACUGAGAUCUAACCUAAUGUCUUCUGAUUCCAUUUUCAACACUCUUUCUUCUAUAUGUAUGCCUUAAAUUACCUUCUUUCUCAGAGGCUUGAGGAAAGGAUGAGUGAGAAAGGGAGUAUUUAUCAGUGACUAUCCUUAGAAGGGACAAUGAGGUUCCUUAGUGCAUACAGUACUGGCCCUGGAAAGAGGAAGACAUCUUCCUGAGUUCAGAUAUGGACUCAGACACUUUCUAGUUGUGUGACCCUGGGCAAAUCAUUCAACCCUUUUUUCACUCAGUUUUCUCACCUGUAAAAUGAACCGGAGAAGGAAAUGGCAAACAUCUCCAGUAUCUUUACAAAAAAAAAACAACAACAAAACAACCCAAACCCAAUUGGGGUCUCAAAACAUUGGACACAACAGAAACAGCUAAACAACAAUAACUCUUAUGAGAUUCUUUGCCUAAAUCCUGAAUAUAACAGGGUCAGAUCUAGAAUACAAUGCUCUAUACUUUUUCCUCCCAGUCCCAAGGCUUAAUGUUUGGUCUUAAUGUUUUCUGGACUUUAAAGGGUACAUUUUACCCAUUUAUACAUUUCUAAUACAUUUCUUUUUCCUUAUUAUCUCUUUGGGGUACAAACCCAGCAGUUCUAUGGCUGGAUAAAAGGGCACAGAGUCUUUUAGCACCCUUUGGGCAAAGUUCCAAAUUGCCCUCCAGAAUGGUUGGAUCAAUUCACAACUUCACCAGCAAUGCAUUAAUGUUCCAACUUUGCCACAUCCCCUCCAGCAUUCAUUACUUUCCAUUGCUGUCAUGUUAGCCAAUCUGCUAGGUGUGAGGUGAUACCUCAGAGUUGUUUUGAUUUGCAUUUCUCUGAUUAUAAGAGAUUUAGAACAUUUUUUAUGUGCCUAUUAAUAGUUUUGAUUUCUUUAAUUGAAAAUUGCCUAUUCAUGUUCCUUGCCCAUUUUUGGACAAUGGCUUGAUUUUUUGUACAAUUGGUUG